Molecule: long non-coding RNA, 214 nt
Organism: Varanus komodoensis (Komodo dragon)
Lineage: Eukaryota; Metazoa; Chordata; Lepidosauria; Squamata; Varanidae
Exons: 3
Source: RefSeq, a predicted model, not a curated record
ACCCUGGUGUGCUCCCCUAACCCUAAUAUAGGGCUAAAAUUCCAUAGAAAAGAGGGAGAUUUUGAAAAAGCCUUCCUUGAGCAGCUUUUUCUGCCCAGCUCAUCAUUUCUGUCGCUUCUAGACACAUCCCAGCCAUCAAAAUCACUCCUGGACACCUCGUUUUUCUAACCCUAACCCAACCCAGGUGCACCCCCAUCUCCCUCACAGCUGGCAA